Vicia faba (fava bean) is the source of this 207-nucleotide non-coding RNA. The record is from the annotation of a GenBank genome assembly. NCBI's taxonomy places the organism in Eukaryota, Viridiplantae, Streptophyta, Magnoliopsida, Fabales, Fabaceae.
AUGCUAAAUUUUCUUGAAGCGGGUCUUAAGGUUUGUUCAAUUAGGUAUAAAAUACUUGAUGGAACAAUGUCCGUCGCUGAAAGAGAUGAAGUUGUUAAGGAAUUUAAAACAAACUCUGAGGUUUGUAAAGUCAUAUAUGGAUUCUUGAAGUUGUAUAAUUACCUAAACAUACCCUGUAUUUUAUUAACCUUCCAUGUAUUUGAUUGA